This 253-nucleotide ribosomal RNA is filed under the name uncultured bacterium. Its description in RNAcentral is "partial 16S ribosomal RNA". It matches the Rfam family "Bacterial small subunit ribosomal RNA", at positions 524 to 776 of the family's 1533-position model. The record is from RNAcentral.
GACAGAGGGGGCAAGCGUUGCUCGGAAUUACUGGGCGUAAAGGGCGCGUAGGCGGGUUGGCAAGUCGGUCGUGAAAUCCCUCGGCUCAACCGAGGAACGUCGAUCGAUACUGCUGUUCUUGAGGAUUGCAGAGGAGACUGGAAUUUCCGGUGUAGCGGUGAAAUGUGUAGAGAUCGGAAAGAACACCAACGGCGAAAGCACUCUGCUGGGCCGACACUGACACUGAGAGACGAAAGCUAGGGGAGCGAAUGGG